AGAGCAGCGAAAAGUACCUUUUAACCUGAAGACCAACGUUCUAUACCCUAAAAACUAUGAUGCUGCUUGAUGUGGCCCAGCUAUGUUUUUAACAUAACACCACAUUUUCCCUAAGUGAUCUUACAGUGGAGCACCCUGAAGGGAAGGAAAGGGAUCUGGAGCCCCAUUUAUUUCCUUCAUGAAUGUCCAGAGGAGAUCCUUGAAAUGAAGACUGCCACUGGGAUAAGGAAGAGACACCAUAGAUAUCUCUUUCUGCAUGCAUGCACAGAAGAAAGUCCAUAUUAGGACACAGUGAAAAGAUGUCCAUCUACAAGCCAGGAAGAGAGGCCUCAUCAGACACCAACGCUGACGGCACCUGGAUCUUGUACUUCUAGCCUCCAGAACUGAAAUUGUCCUUUUCACCUAAAUUUUUGAAUAUCUUGCCAUGAGAGCCCAAGUAGAGUGCAGAAUCACCUGGGUUCAGACGAUUCUCGUGCCUCAGCCUCCGGAGUAGCUGGGAUUACAGGUAAUUUACAUCGACUGCAUCUGUAUGGUGAAAAUAUAGUAUAAUGGGGUGCUGCUGUGAAUCUCCUUCCAAUUCUGCAUUCUGUGAUAUCAUAGUGGUAACCUGAAAUCCACCAUAGUGGGGACAUUUACACAGUAACUGGCAAAUGCUACAAGGCUGGGCUUUUUCAGUUUUGUUGAUUGUCUGGACAUAAAAAAGUAAUACAGAAAAUGUUACCGAUACAAGCAUUUGGGAAAAAUAAACUAAAACCUUUUGUGAAAAACAACAGGUUUUAUGGAAUUUACAAUAAAUAA
This is a long non-coding RNA of Pan troglodytes (chimpanzee), 798 nucleotides long. RefSeq lists it as uncharacterized. The record is from RefSeq and is a predicted model, not a curated record. The transcript is spliced from 5 exons. Lineage: Eukaryota; Metazoa; Chordata; Mammalia; Primates; Hominidae.